This 1061-nucleotide ribosomal RNA is filed under the name uncultured Mycobacterium sp. RNAcentral's name for it is "bacterial SSU rRNA". It matches the Rfam family "Bacterial small subunit ribosomal RNA", at positions 281 to 1352 of the family's 1533-position model. The record is from RNAcentral. Lineage: Bacteria; Bacillati; Actinomycetota; Actinomycetes; Mycobacteriales; Mycobacteriaceae.
GGGUAGCCGGCCUGAGAGGGUGUCCGGCCACACUGGGACUGAGAUACGGCCCAGACUCCUACGGGAGGCAGCAGUGGGGAAUAUUGCACAAUGGGCGCAAGCCUGAUGCAGCGACGCCGCGUGAGGGAUGACGGCCUUCGGGUUGUAAACCUCUUUCAACGCCGACGAAGGGUGACUGACGGUAGGCGUAGAAGAAGCACCGGCCAACCACGUGCCAGCAGCCGCGGUAAUACGUAGGGUGCGAGCGUUGUCCGGAAUUACUGGGCGUAAAGAGCCCGUAGGUGGUUUGUCGCGUUGUUCGUGAAAACUCACAACUCAAUUGUGGGCGUGCGGGCGAUACGGGCAGACUGGAGUACUGCAGGGGAGACUGGAAUUCCUGGUGUAGCGGUGGAAUGCGCAGAUAUCAGGAGGAACACCGGUGGCGAAGGCGGGUCUCUGGGCAGUAACUGACGCUGAGGAGCGAAAGCGUGGGGAGCGAACAGGAUUAGAUACCCUGGUAGUCCACGCCGUAAACGGUGGGUACUAGGUGUGGGUUUCCUUCCUUGGGAUCCGUGCCGUAGCUAACGCAUUAAGUACCCCGCCUGGGGAGUACGGCCGCAAGGCUAAAACUCAAAGGAAUUGACGGGGGCCCGCACAAGCGGCGGAGCAUGUGGAUUAAUUCAAUGCAACGCGAAGAACCUUACCUGGGUUUGACAUGCACAGGACGCCGGCAGAGAUGUCGGUUCCCUUGUGGCCUGUGUGCAGGUGGUGCAUGGCUGUCGUCAGCUCGUGUCGUGAGAUGUUGGGUUAAGUCCCGCAACGAGCGCAACCCUUGUCUCAUGUUGCCAGCGCGUUAUGGCGGGGACUCGUGAGAGACUGCCGGGGUCAACUCGGAGGAAGGUGGGGAUGACGUCAAGUCAUCAUGCCCCUUAUGUCCAGGGCUUCACACAUGCUACAAUGGCCGGUACAAAGGGCUGCGAUGCCGUGAGGUGGAGCGAAUCCUUUUCAAAGCCGGUCUCAGUUCGGAUCGGGGUCUGCAACUCGACCCCGUGAAGUCGGAGUCGCUAGUAAUCGCAGAUCAG